GGCCCUAUGCGCAGGUCUGGUGCCCGUCAAAAGCGGGAGAAUCGGGAAUUCGGUGAGACUCCGGAACGUGCCCAACGCUGUAACGGGGAUGGUCUGCGCGACAUGCCACUGGGCAAGCCCGGGAAGGCGCGCAGGUCAGAUGAUCCGAAGUCAGAAGACCGGCCAGAUGUCAUAGCCUUGC
RNAcentral lists this non-coding RNA (181 nucleotides) under Hoeflea sp. IMCC20628. RNAcentral also lists the same sequence under 1 other name. Lineage: Bacteria; Pseudomonadati; Pseudomonadota; Alphaproteobacteria; Hyphomicrobiales; Rhizobiaceae. The record is from RNAcentral.